AAAGGGUCAAUUUACAAAUAAAGUAAUCACAAAAAUAAGAUUAAUGUGUAAUGCGCGCGAACAUAUAGGGACUAGAAUUGAGAAUAGUCCAGGCCCCAAAACGUAGUGUUGUAACGCAGGCCCAAUUGCAAAAACGAGCAAGUUUUAGGAGAAAUUUAAAAAAACACGUGAGACUCAAGUAGGGACUAAUUGGAACACGGAACAAAACGGGAAGGACCUUCUGCAUAAAUAACCCAUUUUACACGCAAAAGCGCAGAUCCGGGUCUUUGAUCGGGUUGACGCGCGGGUUAUCCCCCUUGAAACGGCGCCGUUUCGUUGUAUGCCCAAAUUUAAAGGAAAAUUGAAUGGCAAUUAGCCAUCUCUUCAAACCGCAAGUCAAAUACCUAAUUGUUUAGGGUUUCAACUCAGCAGCCUUCAAUUUCUAAGGCCAUUCCGUCACCAGUUCACCAUUAAAAUUGGUGAGAGGUAUAGAAGCAGCCUUUAUUUCCAUCAGAAUCAACACUCAAAGACCAUUCUAUCUUGUGUAUCUGCAUUUCUAACCCCGAUUUCGACGAAAAAGAUAAGGGAUCUCACCGAUGCAUUCAUCAAGGUAACUUUUUCGUUUAUCUUUUUUUAAAAAUAAAAAAUAAAAAACAAGAUGUAUGCAAAAGAAGGAAAAAAAUAUCGAAGACAGAAUAUAAAAAAAAUUUUAAAUCACCUUCUGAUUCUUUGAUUCUUGGUAUUAGAUUUGCAUAGAGUGCGUAAAAAUACAUGGAAUACAAGUGAGGCUUUUUGAAUUUUCAGAGAAAUAGCGAAAAAAUAAAAAUAUUCUCCUACUGUCAUUUGCAUAUUCUGUUAUUUCUUCUCGUGUAUUCUUUUUCAGGAAUGGCCGUACGGAGGAGAUGACCCUGGUGACGUGGAGGCCGAGCGUGGGGAGCUCUCGUGAGAGGCUGACCUUCUGAUGCCCUUCUGGCUUACUCCAGAAGCUUCUGGCAUUCUCAGACUGCUGAGAUUCUUUUCAGGUGUAUUGGGCCUCGGGUUUUAGGGCUUAUUCAAUUGGGUCAUGGGUUAUUUUAGUUUAAUGGACUUUUUUUUGUAUUUUUUAUUUUUCCUUUUAGUUUUGGGUUUUGUAAAUGGACUUUGGCCCUAUAAACAAUUUGGUCUUAUUAUUUAUUUGGUUUUAUAAAUAUAUUUUAUUUUUGGUUUUUGUUUUUUUUUGGGCCCGGGCAAAAUGGGCCUAUUACAGCUACUCCUCUUUGUUCAUUGUCAUGUAACGAGAAUAGAGCAAAGACUUUAAGAGGACCACUUUUGCUCGAUUUUGAAUUCUUUGGGGAAAUAAGGCUGGCCUAAAUUUGUUCCAUUGCCUAUACAUGGAGAUAAGAUUUGCUCUCGAUCUGCUGCAACUUCAGGGAAAUAAAAUCUUCAAUCUUCAGUCUGCUCCCUUAUUAUCCCAAGAAAAUAAGACUCACUCUUCAAUCUAUUCUCUUGCCACCUCAGAGAGAUAAGGUUGGUGGUAAAAUAUGUUUCAUUGCCAAUACAUAGAAAUAAGAUUCACUAUUUUCGAUCUGAUCCACUCAGAGAGAUAAGGUUAGUGGCUAAAAUCUGCUCCAUUGCCAAUACGUGGAGACAAGAUUCACCAUCUUCGAUCUGUUCCGCUACUGCUUAGGGAAAUAAGAUCUUCAAUCUUUAGUGUGCUUUCUCACUACCUCAGAAAGAUAAGACUCAAUCUUCAACCUGCUCUCUUGCUACCUUAGAGAGAUAAGGCUUGGGGCUUAAAUCUGCUCCAUUACCGAUACAUGGAGAUAAGAUUCGCCUCUUUCAAUCUGCUCUACUACUGUUUAGGGAGAUAAGAUCUUCAAUCUUCAGUCUGCUUCCUUGCUACCUCAGGAAGAUAAGACUCAUUCUUCAACCUGCUCUCUUGCUACCUCAGAGAGAUGAGGCUGGUGGUAAAACCUGCUCCUUUGUCGAUGCAUAGAGAUAAGAUUCAUCAUCUGCGAAGCUUUAC
Molecule: long non-coding RNA, 1984 nt
Filed under: Gossypium barbadense (sea-island cotton)
Lineage: Eukaryota; Viridiplantae; Streptophyta; Magnoliopsida; Malvales; Malvaceae
Description: long non-coding RNA (GBAR_LNC011189)
Source: RNAcentral